GCAUAUCGCCGUGCCAUCCCCGACGGAAGCCGCGUCUCGCUGGGCGGCCGGGUGGCUGCAUCCGAGGCCGGCGGUCCGAGUAGUCCUAGUGAUAUGGUGCCGACGUCGCUUCCUACUCUACGGCGCCGCGGUCCUCCUGGGCGGCUCGCUCGCGGCGGCCACUUCUGGAUACGAUCGCCUGAUAUGUUCCGGACCACGGGGCGACCCAACCAACUGGAUUAACACCGAACACAAAGGGUGCAUCAACGAACACAACGCACAAUCUUCCUGCUGGUCGGGUUGAGUUGCCAGGAUCGGCCAAGGCGUGAAUCGUCGCUGCCGAUGGGAAUCACACCAGCACACUGCUGGGCUCGCCUCUCCUGGCUACACGGGCGUUAAUCGUCGCUGCCGGCGGGAACCACGCCAGGACACGGCUGCGCUCGCCUCUCCUGGCUAAACGGGCGAGGCUGCGAACUCCGCUGGCUUCGAAGGACAACCGUAUGUGCAAUAAUAGCUGUACGUGUCGAUGUACGAUAGUACAUUGACAACAAAGUUAGUAAAGCUUGGCAGUUGCGUACCAA
Long non-coding RNA from Ixodes scapularis (black-legged tick), 560 nucleotides. RefSeq lists it as uncharacterized. NCBI's taxonomy places the organism in Eukaryota, Metazoa, Arthropoda, Arachnida, Ixodida, Ixodidae. The transcript is spliced from 2 exons. The record is from RefSeq and is a predicted model, not a curated record.